This 450-nucleotide ribosomal RNA is filed under the name uncultured bacterium. RNAcentral's name for it is "bacterial SSU rRNA". It matches the Rfam family "Bacterial small subunit ribosomal RNA", at positions 354 to 796 of the family's 1533-position model. The record is from RNAcentral.
GUAGGGAAUCUUCCACAAUGGGCGCAAGCCUGAUGGAGCAACGCCGCGUGAGUGAAGAAGGUCUUCGGAUCGUAAAACUCUGUUGUUAGAGAAGAACAUGCGAGAGAGUAACUGUUCUUGUAUUGACGGUAUCUAACCAGAAAGCCACGGCUAACUACGUGCCAGCAGCCGCGGUAAUACGUAGGUGGCAAGCGUUGUCCGGAUUUAUUGGGCGUAAAGGGAACGCAGGCGGUCCUUUAAGUCUGAUGUGAAAGCCUUCGGCUUAACCGAAGAAUUGCAUUGGAAACUGGAGGACUUGAGUGCAGAAGAGGAGAGUGGAACUCCAUGUGUAGCGGUGAAAUGCGUAGAUAUAUGGAAGAACACCAGUGGCGAAAGCGGCUCUCUGGUCUGUAACUGACGCUGAGGUUCGAAAGUGUGGGUAGCAAACAGGAUUAGAAACCCUAGUAGUCC